CACACUUAACCAGAUCCCAAGAGAACUCACU
RNAcentral lists this non-coding RNA (31 nucleotides) under Homo sapiens (human). The record is from RNAcentral. Lineage: Eukaryota; Metazoa; Chordata; Mammalia; Primates; Hominidae.